UGCCAGCCGCCGCGGUAAUACGAAGGGGGCUAGCGUUGUUCGGAAUCACUGGGCGUAAAGCGCACGUAGGCGGAUUUGUAAGUUAGGGGUGAAAUCCCGGGGCUCAACCUCGGAACUGCCUUUGAUACUGCAAGUCUAGAGUCCGAGAGAGGUGAGUGGAAUUCCUAGUGUAGAGGUGAAAUUCGUAGAUAUUAGGAAGAACACCGAUGGCGAAGGCAUCUCUCUGGGCCGAUAUUGACGCUGAGGUGCGAAAGUGUGGGUAGCGAACGGGAUUAGAUA
This 279-nucleotide ribosomal RNA is filed under the name uncultured bacterium. RNAcentral describes it as "partial 16S ribosomal RNA". It matches the Rfam family "Bacterial small subunit ribosomal RNA", at positions 506 to 784 of the family's 1533-position model. The record is from RNAcentral.